This 45-nucleotide non-coding RNA is filed under the name Trichobilharzia regenti. Lineage: Eukaryota; Metazoa; Platyhelminthes; Trematoda; Strigeidida; Schistosomatidae. The record is from RNAcentral.
AUCCAGCUGUAGGGUCCAAAGUAGGACGAAAUGCACAUCCCGCAU